UAUCAGAAGUGCGAAUGCUGACAUAAGUAACGAUAAAGCGGGUGAAAAGCCCGCUCGCCGGAAGACCAAGGGUUCCUGUCCAACGUUAAUCGGGGCAGGGUGAGUCGACCCCUAAGGCGAGGCCGAAAGGCGUAGUCGAUGGGAAACGGGUUAAUAUUCCCGUACUUGGUGUUACUGCGAAGGGGGGACGGAGAAGGCUAUGUUGGCCGGGCGACGGUUGUCCCGGUUUAAGCGUGUAGGUGUGUGUUCCAGGUAAAUCCGGUUCACUUUAACACUGAGGCGUGACGACGAGGCACUACGGUGCUGAAGCAACAAAUGCCCUGCUUCCAGGAAAAGCCUCUAAGCAUCAGGUAACAUCAAAUCGUACCCCAAACCGACACAGGUGGUCAGGUAGAGAAUACCAAGGCGCUUGAGAGAACUCGGGUGAAGGAACUAGGCAAAAUGGUGCCGUAACUUCGGGAGAAGGCACGCUGACAUGUAGGUGAAGUGAUUUACUCAUGGAGCUGAAGUCAGUCGAAGAUACCAGCUGGCUGCAACUGUUUAUUAAAAACACAGCACUGUGCAAACACGAAAGUGGACGUAUACGGUGUGACGCCUGCCCGGUGCCGGAAGGUUAAUUGAUGGGGUCAGCGCAAGCGAAGCUCCUGAUCGAAGCCCCGGUAAACGGCGGCCGUAACUAUAACGGUCCUAAGGUAGCGAAAUUCCUUGUCGGGUAAGUUCCGACCUGCACGAAUGGCGUAAUGAUGGCCAGGCUGUCUCCACCCGAGACUCAGUGAAAUUGAACUCGCUGUGAAGAUGCAGUGUACCCGCGGCAAGACGGAAAGACCCCG
This 830-nucleotide ribosomal RNA is filed under the name Salmonella enterica. RNAcentral describes it as "partial 23S ribosomal RNA". It matches the Rfam family "Bacterial large subunit ribosomal RNA", at positions 1280 to 2093 of the family's 2925-position model. Lineage: Bacteria; Pseudomonadati; Pseudomonadota; Gammaproteobacteria; Enterobacterales; Enterobacteriaceae. The record is from RNAcentral.